AACAUUGGAUCACUACAGAAGUUCGCGGCUCAAUUGAUGUCCAAGCAUCUUCAGAUGCUAAAAUUAUAAAAAUAAUAAUUCUUGUCAGGAGAUGUGUUCUCUUUCUGAAGCUGUUUGGACCAGACGGACCUUUCCAGGUAGCCAUGCAACAUGGUUAAAUAGAGGUUUACUCUGUCUUCUACUGAUUUUACUGUGAUGUCCUGUUUACUUUCCUGGUCGUUAGACUCAGCUGCAUGAGCUAUAUCUUUUUCACACUAGAUGAGUCUUUAUCCAUUUCUUGAAUAAUGGACUA
This is a long non-coding RNA of Tripterygium wilfordii, 292 nucleotides long. RefSeq lists it as uncharacterized. The record is from RefSeq and is a predicted model, not a curated record. NCBI's taxonomy places the organism in Eukaryota, Viridiplantae, Streptophyta, Magnoliopsida, Celastrales, Celastraceae. The transcript is spliced from 2 exons.